This is a long non-coding RNA of Psammomys obesus (fat sand rat), 2989 nucleotides long. RefSeq lists it as uncharacterized. The transcript is spliced from 7 exons. The record is from RefSeq and is a predicted model, not a curated record. Lineage: Eukaryota; Metazoa; Chordata; Mammalia; Rodentia; Muridae.
CUGGCACCCAGAGAGCACUCUUUUCAGCCAGAGCCCAGAAACAGCCCUUGUCCCCUGGCAAAAGAGGCCCAGUGCUGGGCCCUGGGCAAAUGUCUCCAGACAUCCCUACCUUUCCUCCUUUUAUUAGUCUCCUUCCCCCACAGAACCCAUUUCCUUUUGCCACUAAAACUAGGUUGCAUCCAAAAGUUUCUCACAAGCUUAAAAAAGAAAAAUGAAAAAUUGACAUCAUUAUACAGAAGAAUUCACAAAAGCUGCAGAGCUCCAGGGCAGAGAAGCAGCGACAGACACAGGAAAGUUUCAUUUUGAAGCUGGAACAGGAGUUCCUGUUUUGCUUUGAGGGUCCAGAGACCUACUCCCCCCCCCCUCCAGGUAUGAAGACCAGACUGGGUUUCCAUUGAAGAUUACAGCCAUUCCUCAUCUACUCCAAUGAUCAGCCCUGAGGAAGGACUGUGGAGCCAGGUAAGCAGUGUCCACUCUUUAAACCUGUAUGUCUUGUCUCUAAUGUGAACCGCCGGUUAUGCCUCACGGCGGCUUCUUCCUUCUGUGCUGCCUUUCAGCUGUUAUCUCUGUGUAAUGGGCACAUUUUAUGAUGAUCACUAUUUAUUAGGGAUCUCAUGUUCGCCCUGUGAAGAUCACUUGAGCAGCAACCUUAGUUCUGUAGCUGUGACUGGCGUAUGCAGCCGCUGCCCCUUAUAAGAUGGUGUCACAGGUCCAUAUACUGUCUGGAGGAGCUGGUCUCCCUUUGAGAGAGGUGAGCCAAGAGGAAGAACAGCACCCGGAUGACAUGGCCAAUGCUAUCUCAGGAAGGGGGAGAUGCUGGAUGAGAAAGGCUUACCAGAUGGCGAAUGCAGUGAUUUGGAGCACUGGGUCCCACUUUAAAAGAAACAACAAUGCUAUGGGCUAAGGUGCAGGCUUCCAGGAUUCAUAGCUACAGCUCUAAUACCUAGACCUGCAGAGUGUUGUGUUUGGGGACAGGUUAAUUUUUUUAAAAACUGCAUUUAUUUCUUUACCUCUUUAGUUAUUUGCUGUGGGUACGCACUUAUCGAAGCCGGAGAACAACGUGUGGGGGUUGGCCUUCUCCUUUUUGGAUUCUAGGGAUCGAAUUUCAAUAAUCAGUCUUGGCAGCAAGCAAGUUUACCCCAAGCUGAGCCAUCUCUUCAACCCCAGGAGAUAGGUUCUUUAGAGACAUAAUUAUGUCUCAGUGAGGUAAGCGUUAAUCUAUGGUGACUGAUGUAGUCCAGAUAAGAUGUUGACAGAAAGACCAUAUGAAGAUAUGAGGACGAGGAGACCAGAUAGGAGGACACGGAGGCCAGAUAUGAGCCAAGGAAAGAUCUUCGGAAGAAAUCAACCCCGCUGCUGACCUUGGAUUUUGUGGCUUCUGCUUCCGGCAGUACCAUCAGACUAAUGCCACCUGCUCUUUGGCACCAGCCAGUUAUGUGCAGCCGCUUGGAGAUGCAGACCCUGUGUCAACAGAUUCUCCAGCGGGUUCUGCCUUUUCAUAUUUGACCAGACCUCCAGCCAUCACGGAACUAGUGUAGCUGACAAAUAAUAUAAAUUGAUAACCGCCGGGGAAGAAUUUAUAAAACCCAGAAGUUUGCCAUGGGUGGAAGGAAAGCCACAGAUUCGACUCUAUCGAUUCUAAUGUGGCCCUGACCAUUAAAGAGAGAGAGCGCGCAAGAGAGAGAUCCUAAGGACCUCACAAUACAAUGUCUCACACAAGGCAGGGAAGUCAUCCUGGUCUACAGUGGCUGCCCGGUGAACUCUGGGGAGUCUCCUGUCUUUACCCCCAGCACUGUGAUUACAGACACAUCAGCACAGGAGACUCUUUCAUGGGCACUGGGUCUCUGAAUUAAGCUCUCAUGCUUGCAUGGCAGGCCCUCAGGACACAUGGGAUGAUCCUUCCAAGUCACUCCCCGGAGAGAGUGGAGCUCUCACUGGCCUGUAUCAGAGAAGCUGCUUUCCCAACCUCUUCCCUGUAAAUUCCCAGCCUCUCCCAUUCAUUUUCAUUCUUCUCUAUAGUUUGCAUGUAAAGAGGCAUUGAAAUUAGACUGUGAUGGACUAAGAGUUAUGAGGCUUUGGUGGGCACGGCCUGUACUUGGUACAGCAAAGGUCAUUUUAUGAUGCCUGCUUCUGAAUCUAGGGAUCACAGCUACCCAGCUCCUACUGUGCCCCAGGAGACUGCCUCUCCUCACCUCUUACUAAGAAAUGGUACAAUUUAGAGUAAGGGAUGAUCCCACAUUUAAGAGGCUUGAAAUUGUAUACUUGGCAUUUCUGAGUUAAGAUCUAAAAUAUAGUUCCCUUAAUCAUAGAGAAAAUAAAAAAAACGUAGUUACAACUUUUCAUUUAAAAAUGAUUGCAUUAAGAGAAAUGGAAAAUCAUGCUGAUAUAAAACUAUUCAUAGUAUCAGCAGGGCUGGGGCUAUAGUUUAGUCAUGGAGGGCUUGCAUAGCAAUGUGCAUGAUCCAAGGUUCAAGCCCCAGCACUGCAAAAGAAAAGUGGGAGGGGAGGUGGUAUUCACAGCAGCAUUUUCGAUAUGGGCAGAAAGGGGAAGGAACUCAAACGCCUACCCAAGAAUGGGUAAGCAUAAAGUGGUUUAUCUCUAUAAGUGGAUACUGGUCUGCCAUAGAAAGGUAUGACAUGAUAGGUAUGAUGAUGUCUCUUUAAACAUCUUCCUAAGUAACAGGCCAAUCACAAGGGAAGGCAUGUACUCCAUAUUUCUGGAGUAUAUAGGCAUACCUAUUUAGAAAAAAAAAAAAAAAGAAGGACAAUGGUUGCUUGGGAUUUGAAGAGAAGGCCUGGAUUUUGGGAGACAGCAGAGUGCUACAGAAUUUCUUUGGGUGGUGAUAAAAAUGUUCUUGAAUUAAUUGAAAUAACGGUUGUACCAUUUGAUAAACUGCAUUUAAAAAGCACUGAGUUUUACUUUCAAAUGGGUGAGUUGCAUGGCACAGUGAUUAUCUCUCAAUAAAACCACGGUUAUAUUUUAAGAAAUA